AUUAAUUAUGAAUCAAUUUAAAUUAAGAAAUGAACAUCUAAAUAUUGCUCCCAGUGUUGUUCAAAGCUUAUUUUCUUGAUCUGACUAAUCGCUCCUGCCUCUUUGUGAACGAGAGGAAUCAUUAACUGUGGUUCGUUGGUUAUGUUUGCCUGCUUCCCCUGGAUCUUCCUCCCUGAUUUGCUUUUCAGCAGCACAUUCACCAUUCUCUCAAACGGCUAAUUCCCCUUCUCGCUGAACAGGCCGAGGGCGACUUGAAACUAAAUACCCCAACUAGCAGAUAGCUCUGCUGACAAUCUGAUGGCGAGAUGCCGAACAAAAGGCAUUUUCUUUUGUCUAUCUCUCAACUCCGGUCGCUUCUACAGACAUCCACCAAACAAAAACAUCACUCUCGGAGAAUGAGUGCACAAACUGAUGGACUGAGGUGAAUUAAUCUACAGCAGCCAAGGUGAUAAUGGACUGAGGUGAGAAAACCAUCAGCAGCCAAGGUGAUAAUGGACUGAGGUGAGAAAACCAUCAGCAGCCAAGGUGAUAAUGGACUGAGGUGAAAUAACCCUCAGCUGCCAAGGUGAUAACGGACUGAGGUGAAAUAACCCUCAGCAGCCAAGGUGAUAAUGGACUGAGGUGAAAUAACCCUCAGCAGCCAAGGUGAUAAUGGACAGGUGAAAUAACCCUCAGCAGCCAAGGUGAUAAUGGACUGAGGUGAAAUAACCCUCAGCAGCCAAGGUGAUAACGGCUGGGGUCAUUUUUGCUUGUUUUUUUCUGUUUUCCAAAUACCAUUUAAAAGUGUUUUAGUUGUGUAGAAAUGCAGUAAAUGAGAUUCAACUUUCCACACCCCACCCCUCCCCCCCAUCCAGAUUUGGUUGUAAACAAGCAAACUUCUCCUUUAAUGCUGUGUGUUCCCAAUGUUCUAGUAUUGACUCUGUUGCUGUAAUGGCAGAAUAUGCUCACUGGGUGGCAGAACUGGGGAGGUUGAAUUUCACAGCAGCGUAUUGGACAUCUUGGUCCUGUUUCUGUGGUUGAUGCAGCUGGACGGUGGAGUACAGAGGCACUUCCUGGUUUUUGGAGCGAGAGAAGUGGACGCUGGAGUAGUGAACAUCAUCCUGGUCGUAUGUGGACUCUGUCUGUGCUGCAGUAGGGGUCAUGUCCAUGUUUGAGAUGUUGUCAUACACUGGACUAGAGUCUCCCUGAUGGAAAGAAAGAACAGACAACAUGAGGAGUGGAAAGUUCCACAAAGAAUACACAGUCAUCACAGUCACCUUCUGAUUCCAACAGACUCACCUGUCCAUCAUCUGCUGUGUCUCUUGUGUUGGAGGUGGAUGUGGAGUUCUUCUUCCUGUUUUGAACAAGAAUGAAUGUAUGAAGAUAUCAAUCAAUCAAUUAAUAAAUUAAGUUACUUUUAUUUAUUUUUAUUUAACUAGGCAAGUCAGUUAAGAACAAAUUCAAAUGUACAAUGACUAAAGUGAAAUUAUAUAAAAAUAUAUGCAAUAUCACUCACCUGAACCACAUGAGUCCAGAGAGACAGAGGAUGAGAACCAGAACAACCACUAUGAUUCCUACAGCUGCAGUCAGAACUGAGGUUUGUUUCCCUAUAAUAAAAUAUGGAUGACAUGAGUACAUGGCAUGUUCUUAUAAUCUAAAAUCUAACACAUUAUAGAAUAUCAACACAAUACGUGUUAAUACUUUGGGAUCUUAUAAAACUUGUGACAUCAUAAGCCGAAACAUAAUUAUAAACCAAAGUGUAAUCAGUCAAAACACAAUGAUUAAGAUCAGCUUGAAACCUGUCAAUUUGUAUUGAAGUAUUGAAGAUGUAACUUUACCUGCUACAAUGAUCAUCAGAGUUGUAGAGUUCAUAGAUCCUCUUCCAUUCUGGGCCUCACAGUAAUAUUCUCCUCUGUCCUCAGAGAUGAUGUUAGUGAUGCUGUAACUCUGUCCUGAUGCUUUUGGCGAGGUUACGUUCUUCUUGUACCAGGUGUAUUUGUCCACAGGUGGGUUGGCAUCACUGCUGCAGGUCAGAGUCACUGAACCGCCCUCCACUAUUUCACCAGAGGGACUGACUGACACUGAGGUGUUCCUUGGGCCAUCUGGUGUUGAAGAUGACAGAACAAAUAAGAACUCAUAUACCAUAUGUAGGUGGGGUUGAGACCGACUGUACAUUGGGUUCUACAUCUCAGUGUGACGCUCUCCUCCUCUGACACAGACGUAGGAUCCAUCUCCAACAGGAUAUCUAAGAGGAAACAUCAGUCAUAUUUGACUCCAGACAGGCUUGUCAUGUGAUUAGACUUGUCCUAUUACAGUAACAACUGUAGGUGAAGUAUUACCUGUGACAGUCAACAUCACACCAGGAAGACCAGAAAAUCUCCCCUUAUUUGUUGUUAUUAAUCUGAAUUUGUAUUCAGCCGAGUCCUUCUCUGUCAGGUCUGUUAUUGUCAUGGUGUGGUGGUUCCUAUUGUACUCCACACGACCUGCAGACUCUGGAUAUGACCUGACAUCUACAGGGUGUUUCUGUGUAAACCAGAAUGAACCUUGUUCUAUAUAACAAGUGGGAUGAGUGUAAGAGCAGGAUAUGUUCACUGAAGACCCCUUCAAGACACAGAUUCUCCUCUUGGUGUAAGUCACCCACCAGUGGUUGUGACCCUGAACACCUGAAACAUAAAGAGGCUCUCUGUUAAUAGUUUUAACUUUUCAUGUCUUGUUUCUUUUGGUGCAAAGUAAAGAAGUAAACUGUUCAUUUCAAGUCAUUUCAGUAUGAAUCACAACCAUUUGAGCUGUUGGUAUUGCUAGAGUGAAACACUGUGUUUGAAUCAACACUUUUUCCCCACUUACACACUGCAGGAGAGGGGAGAUCCUCAUGGCCUUUUACAGCACAGGAGAAACUAUCGUCAUAGUUACUGGAGACUGGGUCUCUGUACUGGGGGGAGGUGCUCUCAUCUAGAUGUUGUCUGUUCUUGUACCAGAUGUAGGUGGGGUUGUCAGUCAGAGUACAGGUGGUGCUACAGGUCAGUGUGUUGUCAUAUAUCCUCUCCACCUUUAGAUCUGAAGGGAGAGGUUAUGAAACAAUAAUGGAGGAAGUCUGUCAGUCACCACCAUUUCACUGGUCUCAUAGAACAUGUAAUAAAUAACUUGACUUGUACUGUAAUAUUUAUACAGUACCUGUGAGACUGAGAGUGAAUCCAUAUGAAUAUUUCCAUCCUGAAUACUGGUUUGUUUUAUAUCUGAAGUGAUAUGUUGCUAUGUCACUCUGUCUCAGGUCUGUGAUUCUCAGGAUGCAGUCCUUCUCUGUAGUUCCACGGUAGUCCACACGACCAUCAAACUUAGGGUCCCAUCUCAGAUCAAAAGGCUUAUCAUUCAACCGUGUGUUAUACCAGACUAUCUCUGUGACUUGGGUCACACUGGGAACAGGACAGCGCAUGUCCACUGAUGACCCCUUUAAGGCACAGACACUCUUCACAGUAUUUUGUCCCAGAACACCUGAAACACAGUGUCACAGGAUUCAACCUUGAGAGAACUUCAUUUGUGACGUCAAGACUAUAAAAAAACAGACAUUACAAUAUUACAUCCAAAUGCAUGUAAACAUGUGCAGGAUACUGUAGGACCCAUCUACUCAAAUGUACAUUCCCUUAUAUCAUCCUAGUAUUCAUUUCAAUAUACAUCAUGGAAGUAAAAAGCAUUCCAGUCAAUUCAGAAAGUUAACCAAAUUACAAUUCCACAUUUUCUAAAUGUUCCUAAUUGAAAAGAUUUGAAAAUAAUUGGAAUUGGCAUUUCAGUCUACUUCCUGAAUUGAGAUGGAAUUGACCCCAACCCUGCUGGUGGUUGACAACCUUCUUAUUCUGCUACUGCUGCUGAUGUGCAGAAGUGUGAAUGGAAACCACAGAAAAGCAUCACUCAGUGAGGAGUGAAAUAUGACUAGUUAAAGGGAAGUGGAGACACCUAACAGAAAACACCAGAAUAACAUUAUGAUUAUUUUCCUUUUAGAAAUGUCUGUAGAUUGAUAAACAGGGAAACUAGAACAUUAUGAAUGAGACCAUACCUGCUACAGACCAGAGAAAGACCACCAACACACUACCUGCUGUUCUCAAGGCCAUUGUUGCAUCUCCCACCCUGCAGUCUUAGAAACAUAAACAACAACUCUAUAGCUGGUGAAUAACUCCACCUGAUACAUUGAAGUAUAAACUGUAAAUGGAGUACAGGGCCUCAUUACUGAAAAUGAACCAGGCUCAUAUUGUGUUGUGUUGUAUUGUGCUAUAUGGUUGUCUAUGUGAAUACUGUCUGUCUGUAAGUCUAUUGCACUAUGUAUGUAAUGUGUGUGAUGUGUUGCAUGUCUGUCUACGUCUAUCUACUUAAACUGGCAUGAUGCAAAAAUAAAUUCCUAAUAUAUA
Oncorhynchus kisutch (coho salmon) is the source of this 4376-nucleotide long non-coding RNA. RefSeq lists it as uncharacterized. NCBI's taxonomy places the organism in Eukaryota, Metazoa, Chordata, Actinopteri, Salmoniformes, Salmonidae. The transcript is spliced from 3 exons. The record is from RefSeq and is a predicted model, not a curated record.